UUAUUGUUCCCGUGGGGCAGUCGAGGAUGUCGGUGAAUUACGCGGCGGGGCUGUCGCCGUACGCGGACAAGGGCAAGUGCGGCCUUCCCGAGGGGUCCCCACGGAGUCUGGACCAUGGAGGAGCGAGGUCUGGCCCCCAAGUUCGACACCACCUUUGAGAGCGCGCGGCCCACGCAGACCCACAUGGCGCUGGUGCAGCUGGAGCGCGUGGGCCUCCUCCACUUCCUGGUCAGCCAGAACGUGGACGGGCUCCAUGUGCGCUCAGGCUUCCCCAGGGACAAACUGGCAGAGCUUCACGGGAACAUGUUUGUGGAAGAAUGUGCCAAGUGUAAGACGCAGUAUGUCCGGGACACAGUCGUGGGCACGAUGGGCCUGAAGGCCACGGGCCGGCUCUGCACCGUAGCUAAGGCAAGGGGGCUGCGGGCCUGCAGGGGAGAGCUGAGGGACACCAUCCUAGACUGGGAGGACUCCCUGCCCGACCGGGACCUGGCACUCGCCGAUGAGGCCAGCAGGUGUGACCCCCCCACCCCCAGGGAGCCCAUGGUGGGGCAGGGUGGGACGACGGCAGAAACACAGCCAGCUCCAGCACGGGACAGUGGCUGAGGCUCAGAGGCAGUCAGGGGAGGCUUCCUGGAGCAGAUGGGCCAGGCCAGGGGCUACACACACACACACACACACACACCCCACCUCAUGGCUCUGGGUGGGUGCUGUCCAAGGAAACCAAGGCUUCCGCCAGGUGUCUCCUCUAUCCAGUGCUGCCCAGCCAGGAGGUGACUGAGCCAGGGUCCCACCCUAGGCGUCCAAGCUCUUACCACACUGUGAUACUCCCCAGAAGUGUCUAAGGGCCCGCCCAGAUCAAUGACCCUGCCAACAGACAGCAGAGGAGGGCGGAGUGGGAUCCCAAAGGCUGACACGGGAGUGGGGCUGGCCUUGAGCACCCCAGUGAGCACAGAUGGCCUAGGUGUGAACCGGCCCCCAGGGCUGGCUCGGGAUGUUGGCAGGAGCAGGGCAUCAGGCUCAGCCCAUGCUCCCCGGCCCCAGGAACGCCGACCUGUCCAUCACGCUGGGCACAUCGCUGCAGAUCCGACCCAGCGGGAACCUGCCGCUGGCUACCAAGCGCCGGGGAGGCCGCCUGGUCAUCGUCAACCUGCAGCCCACCAAGCACGACCGCCAUGCUGACCUCCGCAUCCAUGGCUACGUUGACGAGGUCAUGACCCGGCUCAUGAAGCACCUGGGGCUGGAGAUCCCCGCCUGGGACGGCCCCCGUGUGCUGGAGAAGGCGCUGCCACCCCUGCCCCGUCCGCCCACCCCCAAGCUGGAGCCCAAGGAGGAAUCACCCACCCGGAUCAACGGCUCUAUCCCCGCCGGCCCCAAGCAGGAGCCCUGCGCCCAGCACAACGGCUCAGAG
RNAcentral lists this small RNA (1408 nucleotides) under Pongo abelii (Sumatran orangutan). Its description in RNAcentral is "retained intron". Lineage: Eukaryota; Metazoa; Chordata; Mammalia; Primates; Hominidae. The record is from RNAcentral.